RNAcentral lists this ribosomal RNA (717 nucleotides) under uncultured Planctomycetota bacterium. RNAcentral describes it as "bacterial SSU rRNA". It matches the Rfam family "Bacterial small subunit ribosomal RNA", at positions 604 to 1314 of the family's 1533-position model. The record is from RNAcentral. Lineage: Bacteria; Pseudomonadati; Planctomycetota.
ACGGCUCAACCGUGGAACUGCUUGGUAAACUACUGGUCUUGAGCUCGGCAGGGGCCGCCGGAACUCUAGGUGGAGCGGUGAAAUGCGUAGAUAUCUAGAGGAACGCCAAUGGUGAAGACAGGCGGCUGGGCCGACGCUGACGUUCAGGCACGAAAGCGUGGGUAGCGAACGGGAUUAGAUACCCCGGUAGUCCACGCCCUAAACGUUGUGCACUAGGUCGGGGAGGUUUUGACGCCCUCCCGGCCGCCGCGAAAGCAUUAAGUGCACCGCCUGGGGAGUACGGUCGCAAGGCUAAAACUCAAAGGAAUUGACGGGGGCUCACACAAGCGGUGGAGCAUGUGGCUUAAUUCGAAGCAACGCGAAGAACCUUAUCCUGGGUUUGACAUGUACGGAUUAGCUUUGUGAAAGCAGAGUAACGCCUUCUGGUGGAACGUACACAGGUGUUGCAUGGCUGUCGUCAGCUCGUGCUGUGAAGUGUCGGGUUAAGUCCCUUAACGAGCGAAACCCCUGCCGUUAGUUGCCAGCGAGUCAUGUCGGGGACUCUAACGGGACCGCCGGUGUCAAACCGGAGGAAGGUGGGGAUGACGUCAAGUCCUCAUGGCCUUUAUGCCCAGGGCUGCACACGUGCUACAAUGGUGCGUACAGAACGAAGCGAUGCCGCAAGGCGGAGCAAAUCGUGAAAAGCGCGCCCCAGUUCAGAUUGUGGUCUGCAACUCG